CCGUAACGGCUUUAUGGUUUCAGCAAAAAUACUUUUGGUGGCGGUUUGUGUGGGUUUUCAUUUAAAAAUAUAUAAUCCCGAUGGUGAUCCGGUCAAUAGAAUAAAAAGAUUGCCUGAAAAAUUGUCACCCAAGACUUUGGCAGAGAGACAUCUUGUCAGGUGGGAUAUCCUAGGGUGAUGAAUCUUCAGAGUUUAAUACUAAAAUAUGUUGUAGAUACAGUUAAUAAACAGUAAAAUGCCUAAAACAAGGGAGUUGAGUGAGUGUGAGCGAGGUCAAAUCAUAGCUCAUCAUGAAAAUGGAAUGUCUCAAAGGCAAAUUGCUCAGAAGAUGAAAUGUUCUCGAUAAGCAGUGCAAACGACUCUCAAGCGCUUCAGGGAGACAAAAGAUGUGAAGACUAUACAAAGAACAGGUAGAAAAAAGGUUACAUCACCUCAUGAUGACAGAUCCAUCAUCCAUCAGCCAAUCAGUAACAGGAGAAAAACAUCACCAGAGCUCUAUGUGAACUUCAACGAAGCAAGUACUUCACAAAUAUCAGCCAUAACUGUUAGAAGAAGGCUUGUAGAGUACGGUCUGAAAGGCUGUAAAGCCAGGAAGAGGCCAUGGGUUUUUGAAGCAAAUAUGGAAAAACGUCUUCAGUGGGCCAAAAAUGACUCAAAUUGGACCAGUGAGCAAUGGUCAAAAGUCAUAUGGUCUGAUGAAAGUAACUAUGAGGUAAGAUAGUACAUGUAUUUAAUCAACAUAUAACUGGUUUG
This is a long non-coding RNA of Octopus bimaculoides (California two-spot octopus), 753 nucleotides long. The record is from RefSeq and is a predicted model, not a curated record. NCBI's taxonomy places the organism in Eukaryota, Metazoa, Mollusca, Cephalopoda, Octopoda, Octopodidae.